Long non-coding RNA from Amblyraja radiata (thorny skate), 548 nucleotides. RefSeq lists it as uncharacterized. NCBI's taxonomy places the organism in Eukaryota, Metazoa, Chordata, Chondrichthyes, Rajiformes, Rajidae. The record is from RefSeq and is a predicted model, not a curated record. The transcript has 3 exons.
CCAUGAGCAAGAUUGGCACAUGCAGGAAGGAGCUGGUCAGGAAAGGCCGGGCUAGUACAUUGCCCACUGCGUGCUCCCCUGCUGAGGACGGACUGACUGGAGGUGAAGAGAUCUCAGGGCAGAGGUUGCAUAUCGCGAGCAGACUGCGCGGUGAAACAUGGCGGCACGGAGGCAAGACUCACCUGGAGCCGGUGGAGAGGGCAGAGGUCACGGGCAAGACCAGCCCCACUACAACACCACGCCUCCCCCCGAUUUGAUGCAUUGGACCCCCACCUCAACCAAAGUCAAACCCGCUCCGAUACGACGACUGAAUGUUGACAUCAACAAGGAAGUACUCCCUUGAGUCAGAACAAGAUCGUAGCCAACGAGGAUGAAGCGCUUCCUGGAGUCUAGGAACUUAUUUGGACAGAGGCGGCAUCGACGUGUGGGAUGACUCUAUAUCAGUUGCCACGGGUGUAAAAAUUCCAUUGCAAAAGUAGUAGUAAAAGGGCCAACUUAUAGAGAUAUGGAACAAAACAUACAUACAAUACAAUACAAUAUUUAUUACA